This 1562-nucleotide unclassified non-coding RNA is filed under the name Hevea brasiliensis (rubber tree). Lineage: Eukaryota; Viridiplantae; Streptophyta; Magnoliopsida; Malpighiales; Euphorbiaceae. The record is from RNAcentral.
GGCAAUUUCCUUUUCAUGCCUCUCUCGCGCAAUUGCACAAACAUAUGGGAGACGUUUUAUUAGCCAGAAUGGGCAUUUAAUCCUACCAUCAUUUUGGGUUACUGUUUAACUCUUCUCGAUCUUUUACGUGACCAUACCCCCAUUUACUCGUCAAUUCCCAUAAAACUCAUCAAUUACACGUGCCAAUUCAAGCUCCUGGGAACUCAAUAGUAUCUGGGCAAUGCUUCCUCUCUCACCCGCCAUUGGCGCUUGGACUAAUGAAGCUUUUGUCGUGUGAAACCACCCCAUUCUCACUCUUUGCAUUUCAAACCCAAUCUCCCGUCUUCCGCAUUUUGACAUCUUUUCUUGAGCCACCACUUCUACUCCUUUCUUUCUCCUCCCACUGAUUCCAGUCGAAUUUUAACAGGUUCUUUCCUUAACUGGAAACCCGUUUCUGUUUUAAUUGUUUCCUUGUUAAUUACUUGGUCAACCCACUGAGAUCUAUACCAACAAACGGGGAAAAAUAGCCCCUUUGAUGCAGCUUGUGCUCCGAACCCAAAGUUAGCGUUUUCGCAAUUUGGGAAUUUUUAUCAUGUCCGGGGCGGGUCACGCCGUCGAGCACCGUGUUGGGUUGCCGGAGCUGGAUACAAACCCCAACCGCUCCGGUUGUUGCAACCCGGUUAAGAAAUCGGGUCCUAUAUCAAUGGAUCAUGUCCUGUUGGCAUUGCGGGAAACCAAAGAAGAGAGGGAUGUUAGAUUACGGAGUCUGUUUAAUUUCUUUGACGCCUCGAAUACUGGAUACUUGGAUUACGCGCAGAUCGAGGCAGGAUUAUCGGCGCUGCAGAUUCCGGCGGAGUAUAAAUACGCUAAGGAUUUGUUGAAGGUUUGCGAUGCGAAUAGGGAUGGACGGGUAGAUUAUCAGGAGUUUAGGAGGUAUAUGGACGAUAAAGAGCUGGAGCUGUACCGGAUUUUUCAGGCUAUUGAUGUGGAACACAACGGGUGCAUUUUGCCUGAAGAGUUAUGGGAUGCGCUUGUCAAGGCUGGGAUUUCGAUGAUGAGGAGCUUGCCCGUUUUGUGGAGCAUGUUGAUAAGGAUAAUAAUGGAAUUAUAACUUUUGAAGAAUGGAGAGAUUUUCUUUUGCUUUAUCCACAUGAAGCUACAAUUGAAAACAUAUACCAUUACUGGGAAAGGGUAUGCCUCGUAGAUAUUGGAGAGCAAGCUGUUAUUCCAGAAGGCAUCAGUGAGCAUGUUAAUAGGAGUAAAUAUUUUAUUGCAGGGGGAAUAGCAGGAGCUGCCUCUCGUACUGCAACUGCUCCUCUUGAUCGCUUGAAGGUGGUUUUGCAAGUUCAGACAACACAUGCUCGCCUUGUUCCUGCUAUAAAGAAGAUAAGGAAGAAAGAUGGUUUCUUGGGUUUCUUUCGUGGUAAUGGAUUAAAUGUUGUGAAGGUGGCACCUGAAAGUGCUAUCAAGUUUUAUUCUUAUGAACUGUUAAAGAAUGUUAUUGCGGAUUUUAAGGGGGUAGAAAAGGAUAGUAUAGGUCCUGUUGAGAGACUUUUUGCUGGUGCCACUGCACCAGCCAUCCC